UGGCUCAGGAUGAACGCUGGCGGCAGGCUUAACACAUGCAAGUCGAGGGGCAGCGAGUGGCGUUGUUCGCAACGCCAUGUCGGCGACCGGCGCACUGGUGAGUAACACGUAUGCAACCUGCCCUUCACCGGGGCAUAACCCUUGGAAACGAGGCCUAAUUCCCCAUAUACAGCGCUCGGGCAUCCGGGUGCUGUGAAAGGUUUAUUCCGAUGAAGGAUGGGCAUGCGUCGCAUUAGCUUGUUGGCGGGGUGACGGCCCACCAAGGCGACGAUGCGUAGGGGUUCUGAGAGGAAGGUCCCCCACACUGGUACUGAGACACGGACCAGACUCCUACGGGAGGCAGCAGUGGGGAAUA
Molecule: ribosomal RNA, 355 nt
Filed under: uncultured rumen bacterium
Lineage: Bacteria
Description: bacterial SSU rRNA
Rfam family: Bacterial small subunit ribosomal RNA
Source: RNAcentral